UGGAGCAUGUGGUUUAAUUCGAUGCAACGCGAAGAACCUUACCUGGGCUUGACAUCCCCGGGAAUCCCCUGGAAACAGGGGAGUGCCCUUCGGGAACCCGGUGACAGGUGCUGCAUGGCUGUCGUCAGCUCGUGUCGUGAGAUGUUGGGUUAAGUCCCGCAACGAGCGCAACCCUUGUCAUUAGUUGCUACGAAAGGGCACUCUAAUGAGACUGCCGGUGACAAACCGGAGGAAGGUGGGGAUGACGUCAAGUCCUCAUGGCCCUUAUAGGUGGGGCUACACACGUCAUACAAUGGCUGGUACAAAGGGUUGCCAACCCGCGAGGGGGAGCCAAUCCCAUAAAGCCAGUCGUAGUCCGGAUCGCAGUCUGCAACUCGACUGCGUGAAGUCGGAAUCGCUAGUAAUCGUGGAUCAGCAUGUCACGGUGAAUACGUUCCCGGGUCUU
RNAcentral lists this ribosomal RNA (445 nucleotides) under uncultured Syntrophaceae bacterium. Its description in RNAcentral is "bacterial SSU rRNA". It matches the Rfam family "Bacterial small subunit ribosomal RNA", at positions 933 to 1382 of the family's 1533-position model. Lineage: Bacteria; Pseudomonadati; Thermodesulfobacteriota; Syntrophia; Syntrophales; Syntrophaceae. The record is from RNAcentral.